RNAcentral lists this non-coding RNA (29 nucleotides) under Mus musculus (house mouse). Lineage: Eukaryota; Metazoa; Chordata; Mammalia; Rodentia; Muridae. The record is from RNAcentral.
UCGUUAGAAAGUUCAAGGCCAGACGUACC